This is an unclassified non-coding RNA of Fukomys damarensis (Damara mole-rat), 290 nucleotides long. Its record names the gene 7SK. It matches the Rfam family "7SK RNA". Rfam says of the family: 7SK was discovered as an abundant small nuclear RNA in the mid-70s but a possible function has only recently been suggested. The record is from Ensembl. Lineage: Eukaryota; Metazoa; Chordata; Mammalia; Rodentia; Bathyergidae.
GUGAGGGCAAUCUGGCUGUGACACUCAUCAUCCCAUUGAUCACCAGGGUUGAUUCAGUUGAUCUGGCUGGCUGGGCAAGUGUCCUCUGUCUCCCUCACACGGGCAUCCUUCCCAAAGCUGAAGCUGCAAAAUUGUGUGCCUGGUCAAAGAGGAUAACCACCCCUCAAUAGCGGAGGACUGUUUCUUCAUUCAAGGGUAUUUGUAGCUGUGCUCCCCUGCCUGCUAGAACCUCUAAACAAGCUCUUAAAAAGGGGCUGCCUAAUAAGUACCUAUAAAAUGGUCAUUUUUUU